Cyanistes caeruleus (blue tit) is the source of this 1306-nucleotide non-coding RNA. The record is from RefSeq and is a predicted model, not a curated record. Lineage: Eukaryota; Metazoa; Chordata; Aves; Passeriformes; Paridae.
GGCCCNGCCCCGCUCUGCCGGCAGGGCCGGGCCUCGGCGCCGCUCCGCCCUCCCGCGGGGAAGGGGCCGCGGUGUUAAGGCAGCGUGGAUGCGCGGAUGGAGGGAUGGAUGCAUUGGAUGGAGGGAUGGAUGCAUUGGAGGCAUCGGCGGGUCGCUUCCCGGCGUUGCGCUGUCCCUGCGCCGUGCCGGAGCGCGCACGGAUUAGCUGGAAUGAAACGCAAGUAGGUCAGGAAAGCUGGAUGGCUUUCCAGCGUCAUCCCUCUCUGCGGCCCACCCUCGGGCGUUCGCAGUUUACGCAUUCACGGAUGAAAACUCCGCUGCACUUGGACGGCACACCAUUUUUCUUUUUUUUUUUCCUUAAAUGAGAAAAGCUGUUCUUAGCAUGUUUUGCUGCAUAAAGAAGGCAGCGCCUGUUCUCAUCCAGCCGCCUCCUCUCCACCCUUCCCCAGCCUUAAAUCAUUACGGUCCAUUUCAGUCAAGAGAUUUUGACACGUUUUCCUCCGUCCCUUUGGAUUCUGUAAAUUCCCAGCUAAGCAGAUGAAGAAGACCCCAAAACUUGUACCCAAAGCGGGGAGAGGCUGAAAGCAAAUCCCACCAGCAGCCUUGUCGAGCGCCGGGGGCGGCUCCUGUCUCCCGGCCCUGUUGGCACAGGAGGAGUUACCCGAGCGAGCUGACCUGAGGGAACAGCCACAGGCUGCUCCCAGGGGCUGGCAGCCCAGCUUUCCCUCAGCGCCCUGCUCCGUGGCACUCGCUAGUGUGUACACAGUACCAGCACUCCGGACUCUGCAUCCAGCUGCAAACUCGAAGGAAGCCUUUGGUGGCGGAAUGUUGACACAGCGAGUGGAACUGACUCAACGCUUGUGCUGGUGCUUGCUGGGCUGUGACAGCUGUUCCCCGAGCACUCCGUGUCUCCAAUAAAGGCAUGCGUGCUCGUAAAAACAGCACAUCAUAAACUCAGAAAACAAGAAGUUUCCUCCAGCAGCAGCGUCAUUAAUGCAGUGACAACAACUCUAGGUGGACACGAGAAGCAUGAACUGUUCUGCAAAGAUUCACAUUUCAUCAAAAUCAAUUAACGUGUAAGAAUCCUGUCUUAGAAGAGACAAAAGCCAUGGCAAGGGAGUUCCCCAGCUCUGCUCCCUCUCCUGGGAGGGACAAGGAAAGCAGAAGGUGAGGAAUGUGUAUCCACAGGGGCUGCUAUUCUCCUCUGAGGCUCAGUGAAAAAGCAGAAGCUGCUGCAUCUCCUGAAUGGCAGAGGACAUCUCCUCCUGUCUUGGGAGUGGCUGGUGAGCCUUGAAGCACAGAACUC